Molecule: ribosomal RNA, 253 nt
Filed under: uncultured bacterium
Lineage: Bacteria
Description: partial 16S ribosomal RNA
Rfam family: Bacterial small subunit ribosomal RNA
Source: RNAcentral
UACGUAGGGGGCAAGCGUUGUUCGGAAUUACUGGGCGUAAAGGGCGCGUAGGCGGCACGGCAAGUCAGGAGUGAAAGGCCUGGGCUCAACCGAGGAACUGCUUUUGAGACUGCCGAGCUAGAGUGCAGAAGGGGCAACUGGAAUUCCCAGUGUAGCGGUGAAAUGCGUAGAUAUUGGGAAGAACACCUGAGGCGAAGGCGGGUUGCUGGGCUGACACUGACGCUGAGACGCGAAAGCGUGGGGAGCGAACAGG